GGGUUGUGAGGUUAAGCGACUAAGCGUACACGGUGGAUGCCCUGGCAGUCAGAGGCGAUGAAGGACGUGCUAAUCUGCGAUAAGCGUCGGUAAGGUGAUAUGAACCGUUAUAACCGGCGAUUUCCGAAUGGGGAAACCCAGUGUGAUUCGUCACACUAUCAUUAACUGAAUCCAUAGGUUAAUGAGGCGAACCGGGGGAACUGAAACAUCUAAGUACCCCGAGGAAAAGAAAUCAACCGAGAUUCCCCCAGUAGCGGCGAGCGAACGGGGAGCAGCCCAGAGCCUGAAUCAGUGUGUGUGUUAGUGGAAGCGUCUGGAAAGGCGCGCGAUACAGGGUGACAGCCCCGUACACAAAAAUGCACAUACUGUGAGCUCGAUGAGUAGGGCGGGACACGUGGUAUCCUGUCUGAAUAUGGGGGGACCAUCCUCCAAGGCUAAAUACUCCUGACUGACCGAUAGUGAACCAGUACCGUGAGGGAAAGGCGAAAAGAACCCCGGCGAGGGGAGUGAAAAAGAACCUGAAACCGUGUACGUACAAGCAGUGGGAGCCUCUUUAUGGGGUGACUGCGUACCUUUUGUAUAAUGGGUCAGCGACUUAUAUUCUGUAGCAAGGUUAACCGAAUAGGGGAGCCGAAGGGAAACCGAGUCUUAACUGGGCGUUAAGUUGCAGGGUAUAGACCCGAAACCCGGUGAUCUAGCCAUGGGCAGGUUGAAGGUUGGGUAACACUAACUGGAGGACCGAACCGACUAAUGUUGAAAAAUUAGCGGAUGACUUGUGGCUGGGGGUGAAAGGCCAAUCAAACCGGGAGAUAGCUGGUUCUCCCCGAAAGCUAUUUAGGUAGCGCCUCGUGAAUUCAUCUCCGGGGGUAGAGCACUGUUUCGGCAAGGGGGUCAUCCCGACUUACCAACCCGAUGCAAACUGCGAAUACCGGAGAAUGUUAUCACGGGAGACACACGGCGGGUGCUAACGUCCGUCGUGAAGAGGGAAACAACCCAGACCGCCAGCUAAGGUCCCAAAGUCAUGGUUAAGUGGGAAACGAUGUGGGAAGGCCCAGACAGCCAGGAUGUUGGCUUAGAAGCAGCCAUCAUUUAAAGAAAGCGUAAUAGCUCACUGGUCGAGUCGGCCUGCGCGGAAGAUGUAACGGGGCUAAACCAUGCACCGAAGCUGCGGCAGCGACGCUUAUGCGUUGUUGGGUAGGGGAGCGUUCUGUAAGCCUGCGAAGGUGUACUGUGAGGUAUGCUGGAGGUAUCAGAAGUGCGAAUGCUGACAUAAGUAACGAUAAAGCGGGUGAAAAGCCCGCUCGCCGGAAGACCAAGGGUUCCUGUCCAACGUUAAUCGGGGCAGGGUGAGUCGACCCCUAAGGCGAGGCCGAAAGGCGUAGUCGAUGGGAAACAGGUUAAUAUUCCUGUACUUGGUGUUACUGCGAAGGGGGGACGGAGAAGGCUAUGUUGGCCGGGCGACGGUUGUCCCGGUUUAAGCGUGUAGGCUGGUUUUCCAGGCAAAUCCGGAAAAUCAAGGCUGAGGCGUGAUGACGAGGCACUACGGUGCUGAAGCAACAAAUGCCCUGCUUCCAGGAAAAGCCUCUAAGCAUCAGGUAACAUCAAAUCGUACCCCAAACCGACACAGGUGGUCAGGUAGAGAAUACCAAGGCGCUUGAGAGAACUCGGGUGAAGGAACUAGGCAAAAUGGUGCCGUAACUUCGGGAGAAGGCACGCUGAUAUGUAGGUGAAGCGACUUGCUCGUGGAGCUGAAAUCAGUCGAAGAUACCAGCUGGCUGCAACUGUUUAUUAAAAACACAGCACUGUGCAAACACGAAAGUGGACGUAUACGGUGUGACGCCUGCCCGGUGCCGGAAGGUUAAUUGAUGGGGUUAGCGGUAACGCGAAGCUCUUGAUCGAAGCCCCGGUAAACGGCGGCCGUAACUAUAACGGUCCUAAGGUAGCGAAAUUCCUUGUCGGGUAAGUUCCGACCUGCACGAAUGGCGUAAUGAUGGCCAGGCUGUCUCCACCCGAGACUCAGUGAAAUUGAACUCGCUGUGAAGAUGCAGUGUACCCGCGGCAAGACGGAAAGACCCCGUGAACCUUUACUAUAGCUUGACACUGAACAUUGAGCCUUGAUGUGUAGGAUAGGUGGGAGGCUUUGAAGUGUGGACGCCAGUCUGCAUGGAGCCGACCUUGAAAUACCACCCUUUAAUGUUUGAUGUUCUAACGUUGGCCCCUUAUCGGGGUUGCGGACAGUGUCUGGUGGGUAGUUUGACUGGGGCGGUCUCCUCCUAAAGAGUAACGGAGGAGCACGAAGGUUGGCUAAUCCUGGUCGGACAUCAGGAGGUUAGUGCAAUGGCAUAAGCCAGCUUGACUGCGAGCGUGACGGCGCGAGCAGGUGCGAAAGCAGGUCAUAGUGAUCCGGUGGUUCUGAAUGGAAGGGCCAUCGCUCAACGGAUAAAAGGUACUCCGGGGAUAACAGGCUGAUACCGCCCAAGAGUUCAUAUCGACGGCGGUGUUUGGCACCUCGAUGUCGGCUCAUCACAUCCUGGGGCUGAAGUAGGUCCCAAGGGUAUGGCUGUUCGCCAUUUAAAGUGGUACGCGAGCUGGGUUUAGAACGUCGUGAGACAGUUCGGUCCCUAUCUGCCGUGGGCGCUGGAGAACUGAGGGGGGCUGCUCCUAGUACGAGAGGACCGGAGUGGACGCAUCACUGGUGUUCGGGUUGUCAUGCCAAUGGCACUGCCCGGUAGCUAAAUGCGGAAGAGAUAAGUGCUGAAAGCAUCUAAGCACGAAACUUGCCCCGAGAUGAGUUCUCCCUGACCCUUUAAGGGUCCUGAAGGAACGUUGAAGACGACGACGUUGAUAGGCCGGGUGUGUAAGCGCAGCGAUGCGUUGAGCUAACCGGUACUAAUGAACCGUGAGGCUUAACCUUACAACGCCGAAGGUGUUU
Molecule: ribosomal RNA, 2932 nt
Filed under: Escherichia sp. HH41S
Lineage: Bacteria; Pseudomonadati; Pseudomonadota; Gammaproteobacteria; Enterobacterales; Enterobacteriaceae
Description: 23S ribosomal RNA
Rfam family: Bacterial large subunit ribosomal RNA
Source: RNAcentral